This 296-nucleotide ribosomal RNA is filed under the name unidentified green non-sulfur bacterium OPS143B. RNAcentral describes it as "partial 16S ribosomal RNA". It matches the Rfam family "Bacterial small subunit ribosomal RNA", at positions 1191 to 1482 of the family's 1533-position model. Lineage: Bacteria; Bacillati; Chloroflexota. The record is from RNAcentral.
CAGCAUGGCCUUUAUGCCCAGGGCUACACACACGCUACAAUGGCCGGUACAAUGGGUUGCCAAGCCGCGAGGCGGAGCCAAUCCCAUCAAAGCCGGUCUCAGUUCGGAUUGGAGGCUGCAACCCGCCUCCAUGAAGCCGGAGUUGCUAGUAACCGCCGGUCAGCCAUACGGCGGUGAAUACGUUCCCGGGCCUUGUACACACCGCCCGUCAAGUCAUGGGAGCUGGCAACACCUGAAGCCGGUAGCCUAACCCGCAAGGGAGGGCGCCGUCUAGGGUGGGGCUGGUGACUGGGAAU